GAUGAACGCUGGCGGCGUGCCUAAUACAUGCAAGUCGAGCGAACAGACGAGGAGCUUGCUCCUCUGACGUUAGCGGCGGACGGGUGAGUAACACGUGGAUAACCUACCUAUAAGACUGGGAUAACUUCGGGAAACCGGAGCUAAUACCGGAUAAUAUAUUGAACCGCAUGGUUCAAUAGUGAAAGACGGUUUUGCUGUCACUUAUAGAUGGAUUCGCGCCGCAUUAGCUAGUUGGUAAGGUAACGGCUUACCAAGGCGACGAUGCGUAGCCGACCUGAGAGGGUGAUCAGCCACACUGGAACUGAGACACGGUCCAGACUCCUACGGGAGGCAGCAGUAGGGAAUCUUCCGCAAAGGGCGAAAGCCUGACGGAGCAACGCCGCGUGAGUGAUGAAGGUCUUCGGAUCGUAAAACUCUUUUAUUAGGGAAGAACAAAUGUGUAAGUAACUAUGCACGUCUUGACGGUACCUACUCAGAAAGCCACGGCUAACUACGUG
This 497-nucleotide ribosomal RNA is filed under the name uncultured bacterium. RNAcentral's name for it is "partial 16S ribosomal RNA". It matches the Rfam family "Bacterial small subunit ribosomal RNA", at positions 28 to 507 of the family's 1533-position model. The record is from RNAcentral.